Molecule: ribosomal RNA, 492 nt
Filed under: uncultured bacterium
Lineage: Bacteria
Description: partial 16S ribosomal RNA
Rfam family: Bacterial small subunit ribosomal RNA
Source: RNAcentral
AGUGAACGCUGGCGGUAGGCCUAACACAUGCAAGUCGAACGGCAGCACAGUAAGAGCUUGCUCUUACGGGUGGGGAGUGGCGGACGGGUGAGGAAUACAUCGGAAUCUACUUUUUCGUGGGGGAUAACGUAGGGAAACUUACGCUAAUACCGCAUACGACCUACGGGUGAAAGCAGGGGAUCUUCGGACCUUGCGCGAUUGAAUGAGCCGAUGUCGGAUUAGCUAGUUGGCGGGGUAAAGGCCCACCAAGGCGACGAUCCGUAGCUGGUCUGAGAGGAUGAUCAGCCACACUGGAACUGAGACACGGUCCAGACUCCUACGGGAGGCAGCAGUGGGGAAUAUUGGACAAUGGGCGCAAGCCUGAUCCAGCCAUACCGCGUGGGUGAAGAAGGCCUUCGGGUUGUAAAGCCCUUUUGUUGGGAAAGAAAAGCAGCAGGUUAAUACCCCGCUGUUCUGACGGUACCCAAAGAAUAAGCACCGGCUAACUUCGUG